AUUGAACGCUGGCGGCAUGCUUUACACAUGCAAGUCGGACGGCAGCACAGAGAAGCUUGCUUCUUGGGUGGCGAGUGGCGAACGGGUGAGUAAUAUAUCGGAACGUACCGAGUAAUGGGGGAUAACAAAUCGAAAGAUUAGCUAAUACCGCAUAUUCUCUGAGGAGGAAAGCAGGGGACCUUCGGGCCUUGCGUUAUUCGAGCGGCCGAUAUCUGAUUAGCUAGUUGGUGGGGUAAAGGCCUACCAAGGCGACGAUCAGUAGCGGGUCUGAGAGGAUGAUCCGCCACACUGGGACUGAGACACGGCCCAGACUCCUACGGGAGGCAGCAGUGGGGAAUUUUGGACAAUGGGCGCAAGCCUGAUCCAGCCAUGCCGCGUGUCUGAAGAAGGCCUUCGGGUUGUAAAGGACUUUUGUCAGGGAAGAAAAGGCUGUUGCUAAUAUCGACAGCUGAUGACGGUACCUGAAGAAUAAGCACCGGCUAACUACGUG
Molecule: ribosomal RNA, 490 nt
Filed under: uncultured bacterium
Lineage: Bacteria
Description: partial 16S ribosomal RNA
Rfam family: Bacterial small subunit ribosomal RNA
Source: RNAcentral